UAUGCCUUUCCUCUCCAUCUUCUUCCUCUCUUUCAUCUUCAAAAGAUCAAAGUUCCUCUCCUAAUCUCCAAACCGUGCGGUUCCAAAGCAAAGGAAGGAAAACUUUUUCCUUUCUUCAUCUCCAAAUUGAGUGUGCUUCAUCUCUACCCAUUUUAAUUUUCGUCCAAAGCUUAAAUCCCAAGCUUGUUUUCAUCUUCCAAAGGGUGAAAUCUUGAAGGACCUAUUGUAAAGUCGGAAGUGCCAUGGUGCGUUGAGGUAUUGAUGAUGAGGCUAGGAAGCCAGGCACUAGAACAGAGGGAGAGGUGGAUCGUUAGUAUUCUCCCUUUUGGUUCAACCUUUUGAUGAUGAUAAGUUUAUAUCAAUAGGGGUUUAUGUUUAGGAUGGGUCCCAUGUUGGGACGUUUUGUUGGUUCAACUUUUAAGCUAUGUAUCUUUUAGUAAGGUGUAAUUGUUAUGGUGGGGUGAUGGUAGGCCCUUUUACGUUGACUUAGCACUUUUAUAUGUAUGAUAAGGACAGAAUCCCUUCUUACUUAGAACUUUUUAUGUUUUGAUGAACAUAUUAUAGACUCUGAGAGUCUUUUAUGGAUGAAUGAUUUGUUAGAAUCUCUA
Long non-coding RNA from Carya illinoinensis, 608 nucleotides. RefSeq lists it as uncharacterized. Lineage: Eukaryota; Viridiplantae; Streptophyta; Magnoliopsida; Fagales; Juglandaceae. The transcript has 3 exons. The record is from RefSeq and is a predicted model, not a curated record.